Molecule: ribosomal RNA, 465 nt
Filed under: uncultured bacterium
Lineage: Bacteria
Description: partial 16S ribosomal RNA
Rfam family: Bacterial small subunit ribosomal RNA
Source: RNAcentral
GACGAACGCUGGCGGCGUGCUUAACACAUGCAAGUCGUACGGUAAGGCCCUUUCGGGGGUACACGAGUGGCGAACGGGUGAGUAAAACGUGAGUAACCUGCCCACAACUUUGGGAUAACGCUAGGAAACUGGUGCUAAUACUGGAUAUGUGCUCCUGCUGCAUGGUGGGGGUUGGAAAGCUCCGGCGGUUGUGGAUGGACUCGCGGCCUAUCAGCUUGUUGGUGGGGUAGUGGCCUACCAAGGCGGCGACGGGUAGCCGGCCUGAGAGGGUGACCGGCCACAUUGGGACUGAGAUACGGCCCAGACUCCUACGGGAGGCAGCAGUGGGGAAUAUUGCACAAUGGGCGCAAGCCUGAUGCAGCGACGCCGCGUGCGGGAUGACGGCCUUCGGGUUGUAAACCGCUUUCAGCAGGGACGAAGCUUUUUGUGACGGUACCUGCAUAAGAAGCACCGGCUAACUACGUG